CGUACACUCCUGCGGGAGGCAGCAGUGGGGAAUUUUGGACAAUGGGCGCAAGCCUGAUCCAGCCAUGCCGCGUGCGGGAAGAAGGCCUUCGGGUUGUAAACCGCUUUUGUCAGGGAAGAAAAGGUUCUGGCUAAUACCUGGGACUCAUGACGGUACCUGAAGAAUAAGCACCGGCUAACUACGUGCCAGCAGCCGCGGUAAUACGUAGGGUGCAAGCGUUAAUCGGAAUUACUGGGCGUAAAGCGUGCGCAGGCGGUUAUGCAAGACAGAGGUGAAAUCCCCGGGCUCAACCUGGGAACUGCCUUUGUGACUGCAUGGCUAGAGUACGGUAGAGGGGGAUGGAAUUCCGCGUGUAGCAGUGAAAUGCGUAGAUAUGCGGAGGAACACCGAUGGCGAAGGCAAUCCCCUGGACCUGUACUGACGCUCAUGCACGAAAGCGUGGGGAGCAAACAGGAUUAGAUACCCUGGUAGUCCCAUGAU
RNAcentral lists this ribosomal RNA (480 nucleotides) under uncultured organism. RNAcentral's name for it is "partial 16S ribosomal RNA". It matches the Rfam family "Bacterial small subunit ribosomal RNA", at positions 330 to 801 of the family's 1533-position model. The record is from RNAcentral.